GAUGAACGCUAGCGGCAGGCCUAAUACAUGCAAGUCGGACGGGAUUUGGGAGCUUGCUCCUAAUGAGAGUGGCGCACGGGUGCGUAACACGUAUGUAACCUACCUUAAUCAGGGGGAUAGCCUCUCGAAAGAGAGAUUAACACCGCAUAAUAUAUUUUUAUGGCAUCGUAGAAAUAUCAAAUAUUUAUAGGAUUAAGAUGGGCAUGCGGAACAUUAGCUAGUUGGUAAGGUAACGGCUUACCAAGGCUACGAUGUUUAGGGGAUCUGAGAGGGUGACCACCCACACUGGUACUGGGAGACGGACCAGACUCCUACGGGAGGCAGCUGUAAGGAAUAUGGGUCAAUGGGCGAAAGCCUGAACCAGCCAUGCCGAGUGCAGGAAGACGGCCCUAUGGGUUGUAAACUGCUUUUGUACCGGAAUAAACCCUUUUACGUGUAAGAGGCUGAAUGUACGGUAAGAAUAAGGAUUGGCUAACUCCGUGCCAGCCGCCGCCGUAA
Molecule: ribosomal RNA, 498 nt
Filed under: uncultured bacterium
Lineage: Bacteria
Description: partial 16S ribosomal RNA
Rfam family: Bacterial small subunit ribosomal RNA
Source: RNAcentral